RNAcentral lists this ribosomal RNA (473 nucleotides) under uncultured bacterium. Its description in RNAcentral is "SSU rRNA". It matches the Rfam family "Bacterial small subunit ribosomal RNA", at positions 26 to 518 of the family's 1533-position model. The record is from RNAcentral.
AGGAUAAACGCUGGCGGCGUGCCUAACACAUGCAAGUCGAACGCGCUUUCGUCUUCGGAGGAGAGCGAGUGGCGGACGGGUGAGUAACACAUGGGUACCUACCCCACAGUGAGGGAUACCGGCGAGAAAUCGCCGACAAUACCGCAUAGGCUUCUCUUUGGAGACGAGGAGAAGCAAAGUUGCGCAAGCGACGCUGAGGGAUGGGCCUGUGGCCGAUUAGCUAGUUGGGGGGUAACGGCCUCCCAAGGCUUCGAUCGGUAGCUGGUCUGAGAGGACGAUCACCCAGACUGGGACUGAGACACGGCCCAGACUCCUACGGGAGGCAGCAGUCGGGAAUUUUGCGCAAUGGACGAAAGUCUGACGCAGCAACGCCGCGUGAGGGAUGAAGGCCUUCGGGUUGUAAACCUCUUUCUCAGGGAGAUAGUGACGGUACCUGAGGAAUAAGUCACGGCUAACUACGUGCCAGCAGCCGC